UAACGACUCUCGGCAACGGAUAUCUCGGCUCUCGCAUCGAUGAAGAACGUAGCGAACUGCGAUACUUGGUGUGAAUUGCAGAAUCCCGUGAACCAUCGAGUCUUUGAACGCAAGUUGCGCCCGAAGCCAUUUGGUCGAGGGCACGUUUGCCUGGGUGUCACACAUGGCGUUGCCCCUAACCCCUCUCCUUGAAUUGGGCGGGUGGGACUUGGGUGCGUAUGAUGGCCUCCCGAGACAACCUUGUCCCGGUUGGCCCAAAAUCGAGCGUUGGAGCGAUUAGCACCACGGCAUUCGGUGGUUGAUGAGGCCCCAAUGAUUAAUGUCGUGCGUGUCGCUCACGUACACGCUCCACGAAUCUACCUUUCACCAACGCGACCCCAGGUCAAGCGGGGCUACCCGCUGAGUUUAAGCAUAUCAAUAAGCGGAGGAAAAGAAACUAACAAGGAUUCCCCUAGUAACGGCGAGCGAACCGGGAAGAGCCC
Molecule: ribosomal RNA, 482 nt
Filed under: Syzygium oblatum
Lineage: Eukaryota; Viridiplantae; Streptophyta; Magnoliopsida; Myrtales; Myrtaceae
Description: eukaryotic LSU rRNA
Rfam family: 5.8S ribosomal RNA (bases 5-160)
Source: RNAcentral